RNAcentral lists this ribosomal RNA (176 nucleotides) under Corticibacter populi. Lineage: Bacteria; Pseudomonadati; Pseudomonadota; Betaproteobacteria; Burkholderiales; Comamonadaceae. The record is from RNAcentral.
CCUGAUGACAAUAGCAGUCUGGAACCACUCCUUCCCAUCCCGAACAGGACAGUGAAACGGACUCGCGCCAAUGAUAGUGCGGAUUCCCGUGUGAAAGUAGGUCAUCGUCAGGCUCCUAUUGAAAACCCCCCUCAGGUCGUCCCUGUGGGGGGUUUCGCUUUGCUGAUAUGCCGGAU